RNAcentral lists this ribosomal RNA (372 nucleotides) under uncultured organism. RNAcentral describes it as "partial 16S ribosomal RNA". It matches the Rfam family "Bacterial small subunit ribosomal RNA", at positions 527 to 896 of the family's 1533-position model. The record is from RNAcentral.
GUAGGUGGCAAGCGUUGUCCGGAAUUAUUGGGCGUAAAGCGCGCGCAGGGCGGUCCUUUAAGUCUGAUGUGGAAGCCCACGGCUCAACCGUGGAGGGUCAUUGGAAACUGGGGGACUUGAGUACAGAAGAGGAAAGCGGAAUUCCAAGUGUAGCGGUGAAAUGCGUAGAGAUUUGGAGGAACACCAGUGGCGAAGGCGGCUUUCUGGUCUGUAACUGACGCUGAGGCGCGAAAGCGUGGGGAGCAAACAGGAUUAGAUACCCUGGUAGUCCACGCCGUAAACGAUGAGUGCUAAGUGUUAGGGGGUUUCCGCCCCUUAGUGCUGCAGCUAACGCAUUAAGCACUCCGCCUGGGGAGUACGGCCGCAAGGCUG